This 253-nucleotide ribosomal RNA is filed under the name uncultured bacterium. Its description in RNAcentral is "partial 16S ribosomal RNA". It matches the Rfam family "Bacterial small subunit ribosomal RNA", at positions 524 to 776 of the family's 1533-position model. The record is from RNAcentral.
UACGUAGGGUGCGAGCGUUAAUCGGAAUUACUGGGCGUAAAGCGUGCGCAGGCGGUUUUAUAAGCCAGAUGUGAAAGCCCCGGGCUCAACCUGGGAAUGGCAUUUGGGACUGUAAGGCUGGAGUAUGGCAGAGGAGACUAGAAUUCCUGGUGUAGCAGUGAAAUGCGUAGAUAUCAGGAGGAACACCGGUGGCGAAGGCGGGUCUCUGGGCCGAUACUGACGCUGAGGAGCGAAAGCGUGGGGAGCGAACAGG